Molecule: ribosomal RNA, 460 nt
Filed under: uncultured bacterium
Lineage: Bacteria
Description: partial 16S ribosomal RNA
Rfam family: Bacterial small subunit ribosomal RNA
Source: RNAcentral
CCUACGGGUGGCAGCAGUGAGGAAUAUUGGUCAAUGGCCGUAAGGCUGAACGAGCCAAGUAGCGUGAGGGAAGACUGCCCUAUGGGUUGUAAACCUCUUUUAUGCGGGGAUAAAGGUGUCAACGGGUGGGUGUUUGCAGGUAUCGCAUGAAUAAGGAACGGCUAAUCACGUGCCAGGCGCGGCGGUAAGACGGAAGGUACGGGCGUUAUCCGGAUUUGUUGGGUUUAAAGGGAGUGUAGGCCGGUCUUUAAGCGUUCCGUGAAAUUUUGGGGACCAACCAGGAGAGUGCGGCGCGAACUGGAGACCUUGAGUGCGCGGAAGGCAGGCGGAAUUCGUGGUGUAGCGGUGAAAUGCUUAGAUAUCACGAAGAACCCCGAUUGCGAAGGCAGCCUCCCGCAGCGUUACUGACGCUGAAGCUCGAAAGCGCGGGUAUCGAACAGGAUUAGAUACCCUAGUAGUC